Non-coding RNA from Odocoileus virginianus texanus, 246 nucleotides. Lineage: Eukaryota; Metazoa; Chordata; Mammalia; Artiodactyla; Cervidae. The record is from RefSeq and is a predicted model, not a curated record.
AGAAGGAGAGACAAAGGAGGAAAUGGAAGAGCACAAAGGCAGCAAGGAAUGAAAGGAUAACCCCUCUCCACCACUGACAACUCAUAAACUGCACCCCUUCUGACACCCACUUCCAUAUGCAAAAUUCAAGUUCGUUUCAAGAUUACUCAUCUGGGCAAAACCAGCUGUUGUGAGUAGCCCUAAGAAGAGGCCCAUGGGUGAGGAAGAGAGACCCUGAGCCAGAAGCACCCAGCUAAGUUGCUUCCA